Paramuricea clavata is the source of this 1938-nucleotide non-coding RNA. The record is from the annotation of a GenBank genome assembly. Lineage: Eukaryota; Metazoa; Cnidaria; Anthozoa; Malacalcyonacea; Plexauridae.
UGAAUGAAUUAUUUUUCAAAUUUUACAGCAUCUGCCGCAACGUUAAUCAAUAUUCAUAACGCCAGGAGACACUUUGAGAAACUGGAGAAGAAACCGGCAAGCACUUAACACAGAGGAAGCGCUGCAAUCUUAAUUUAAGGUGAAUUCUGAGCACUACAUGGUGGUAUCUGACGGGAGUUUUACGCUAGACAUAUUGAACGUCCAAUUGCACGCAUAAUGCAUUCGUAUAAUGGAGAUAACAUUUGAAUUUAAUAACAAUAUUAUUUUAUAGAGUUUAUAAAAAAACUAUUUUGUAGUAAAGUAGAAAUCAAAAUGCGCAAGGAUUUCGUAAUUAUUGCUUAACGUCUGAACAAUUGAAGGAAGAGGUUAUUUCGCUGGCCUCAGAAUGACAAAACGUAACAAAGCAACGGUUUUACUAACACUAACCCUAUUCCAAACACCAACUCUAACCCUAAUCCUUGUCCUAACCCUAACCUAACCCUACUCCAAGUUCGUUUCUAAACCAAUUUUGAAAAAUGUCAUUCUGAGGUCAACGUCAACGAAAUAACUUCUUCCACAAUUGAAGUUGAACUUCUGUAGAGUGUUUUCGUGUAUUCCCUUCUUGGUGGAGGGUAAAUUAUUCAUUUUUUCCCUUCAAUUUUUAAUCAGGAUAAAACUUUAUUUAAAAAGGUUCAAAAAUGUUAAUUUAAUUUUAUUCAUUUCUAAAAUAAGAUUUUAAAAUCUCGUUAGAGGAAAGAGCCUGGGAACGAGGUUGGGUGUGUAUCAAUAGCUACAGGGUUGAGGGUUGUCUUGGGUCAGCCUUCAGUCAGUGUUAUUUCUUUCUUUCAUGGGUAUAAUCUGAUUUGGUUUGUCAAAAAAGAAUUUUAUAUAAAGCAAUAACAUUAAUAAAAGUUUCAUUUAGUAUUUACAAUAUAAGGUUUGGUCUCGUUAAAUGCAUUUAAUCGGCUAACGCAUGUUUAACUUUAUGCAGUUGGCCACCCAAUUCACAUGUUUGGGUUACUCUCAUGCCUCAGUUAUAAUGUAGUUUUACAAAGUAGUUUUACAAAGUCUACCAAACUAAUAAUGUCUUCAAGGACAAAAUAGAAAAAAAAGUUUUUUUAAACCUUUUUAUCUUUGCAUCUAAAAGGAUGGCGGUAGCUGCUAAAACCUUUUUUCUGUUGUCUCAACUUUUAAAAUGAUGUAUGAAGACCCUUUACAAUUCUUUUCUAUCUUGCUUUGCUUGGAGAUAUUUCGGCCACAAACAACCACAAACAGCAUGUACUCCGCCAUCUUGUUUUUAUAUUUACUCAGUAGUUUACAUAAUGGCCCUCAGUACCUAUAAAUAAUAUUAGUAACAUUAUUAAAUUAAUGUUAAUAAUUAGAUUAAACAUAUUAAAUAAAGCGAUGGUUACACAAUGGUUGAUAACAAUAUUGCGUUGCCGUCGCACAAGGUGGCUACACCUGCAAUAUUUCACCUGCAAUAUACGUCUUUAUGACGCUUUUCAUUGGCUGGUCAAGAAACGUGUCAAUUUCGACAAUCAUUGCCAAAAAUCAAAUGAUUUGAAACUUCGGCAAUGAUUGCGCGUUAAUUUUGUGUAACAUAUACAGCUUCCUAGUAUACGUAUUAUAUCGUCAAUAGGAAGCCAUCCUAUAAUGUUGAAAAUAAUUUAACAGAAUUGUCGUUGAUGCUGGCAUCCAGUAUGAUCCUGGCAUCCAGUAUGAUCCUAGCCUAGCCCACCAACCUAGCACAGCGCUUCUGAAUCUUUAAAAGUCUAUCCAAUUGAGCAAUUACCCCCACACAUAACAGUAAUAUUCCAUAAACCGACUUAAUCAACGCAUUGUACAACAUUUUUCUACAAUGCACUGUUAGAUGAUUUUUUGCUGUCUUAAUUAAUUAAAGAGGCAUACGAGACCCACAACUGGGUUGCAUCUCUCGAAAAUACUAUAUGUGGAUGAGCC